Molecule: ribosomal RNA, 253 nt
Filed under: uncultured bacterium
Lineage: Bacteria
Description: partial 16S ribosomal RNA
Rfam family: Bacterial small subunit ribosomal RNA
Source: RNAcentral
UACAGAGGGGGCAAGCGUUGUUCGGAAUUACUGGGCGUAAAGGGCGCGUAGGCGGCCUGCUAAGUCGAACGUGAAAUCCCUGGGCUCAACCCAGGAACUGCGUCCGAUACUGGUUGGCUUGAAUCCGGGAGAGGGAUGUGGAAUUCCAGGUGUAGCGGUGAAAUGCGUAGAUAUCUGGAGGAACACCGGUGGCGAAGGCGACAUCCUGGACCGGUAUUGACGCUGAGGCGCGAAAGCGUGGGGAGCGAUCGGG